AUGCCAGAGUAGCGUUGUGGUAGAGAACUGUGGGACCUGAGAGCACUUUGACCAUCUAACGGCAGCUAUUUGUGUACAGCAAAUUCCUAACACUUCCUGGCAUCGAGGGAUCAUCCCUGUGCUGUUCAGACCAUCGGAUCAAAUCUAAGAGCCCCUAGGAGCAUCAUCAGAUAAUCUCUACUCCUGCUUUCAUGCCACAGUGCUGGUGUAGGGGAAUCUGGGCAAUAGGACCAACUUGACCAUGUCAUAAGAGCAGUUGCCCAAUGCAUUUCCCAGCCUCGAGGACCCCAUCUCUCUGUUUGAACGAUCUGGUCAAAUCUCAGACCUGCCCUGCCCUCGAGAUGGAACCA
This is a long non-coding RNA of Tachyglossus aculeatus (Australian echidna), 350 nucleotides long. RefSeq lists it as uncharacterized. The record is from RefSeq and is a predicted model, not a curated record. The transcript is spliced from 4 exons. Lineage: Eukaryota; Metazoa; Chordata; Mammalia; Monotremata; Tachyglossidae.